RNAcentral lists this ribosomal RNA (459 nucleotides) under uncultured bacterium. RNAcentral's name for it is "partial 16S ribosomal RNA". It matches the Rfam family "Bacterial small subunit ribosomal RNA", at positions 338 to 795 of the family's 1533-position model. The record is from RNAcentral.
CCUAUGGGUGACAGCAGUGAGGAAUAUUGGUCAAUGGCCGGAAGUCUGAACCAGCCAAGCCGCGUGAAGGACGAAGGUGCCAAGCAUUGUAAACUUCUUUUGUCAAGGGACAAAAUCAGGCUCGAGAGCCUGACCGAGGGUACUUUAAGAAAAAGCAUCGGCUAACUCCGUGCCAGCAGCCGCGGUAAUACGGAGGAUGCGAGCGUUAUCCGGAUUUAUUGGGUUUAAAGGGGGCGUAGGCGGGCUGUUAAGUCAGCGGUAAAAGCCCGGGGCUCAACCCCGGCGAGCCGUUGAAACUGGCAGUCUUGAGAGGGCGAGAGGUAGGCGGAAUGCGCAGUGUAGCGGUGAAAUGCUUAGAUAUUGCGCAGAACUCCGAUUGCGAAGGCAGCAUAUCGGAGGCGAUCUGACGCUGAGGCACGAAAGCGUGGGUAUCGAACAGGAUUAGAUACCCGAGUAGUC